AGAGUUUGAUCAUGGCUCAGGAUGAACGCUGGCGGCGUGCCUAACACAUGCAAGUCGAGCGAUUCUCUUCGGAGAAGAGCGGCGGACGGGUGAGUAACGCUGGGUAACCUGCCCUGUACACACGGAUAACAUACCGAAAGGUAUGCUAAUACGAGAUAAUAUACUUUUAUCGCAUGGUAGAAGUAUCAAAGCUCCGGCGGUACAGGAUGGACCCGCGUCUGAUUAGCUAGUUGGUAAGGUAACGGCUUACCAAGGCGACGAUCAGUAGCCGACCUGAGAGAGUGAUCGGCCACAUCGGAACUGAGACACGGUCCAAACUCCUACGGGAGGCAGCAGUGGGGAAUAUUGCACAAUGGGCGAAAGCCUGAUGCAGCAACGCCGCGUGAGCGAUGAAGGCCUUCGGGUCGUAAAGCUCUGUCCUCAAGGAAGAUAAUGACGGUACUUGAGGAGGAAGCCCCGGCUAACUACGUG
Molecule: ribosomal RNA, 471 nt
Filed under: uncultured bacterium
Lineage: Bacteria
Description: bacterial SSU rRNA
Rfam family: Bacterial small subunit ribosomal RNA
Source: RNAcentral